GAUGAACGCUGGCGGCGUGCCUAAUACAUGCAAGUCGAGCGAACAGACGAGGAGCUUGCUCCUCUGACGUUAGCGGCGGACGGGUGAGUAACACGUGGAUAACCUACCUAUAAGACUGGGAUAACUUCGGGAAACCGGAGCUAAUACCGGAUAAUAUAUUGAACCGCAUGGUUCAAUAGUGAAAGACGGUUUUGCUGUCACUUAUAGAUGGAUCCGCGCCGCAUUAGCUAGUUGGUAAGUUAACGGCUUACCAAGGCAACGAUGCGUAGCCGACCUGAGAGGGUGAUCGCCCACACUGGAACUGAGCCACGGUCCAGACUCCUACGGGAGGCAGCAGUAGGGAAUCGUCCGCAAUGGGCGAAAGCUUGACGGAGCAACGCCGCGUGAGUGAUGAAGGUCUUCGGAUCGUAAAACUCUGUUAUUAGGGAAGAACAAAUGUGUAAGUAACUAUGCACGUCUUGACGGUACCUAAUCAGAAAGCCACGGCUAACUACGUG
This 497-nucleotide ribosomal RNA is filed under the name uncultured bacterium. RNAcentral's name for it is "partial 16S ribosomal RNA". It matches the Rfam family "Bacterial small subunit ribosomal RNA", at positions 28 to 507 of the family's 1533-position model. The record is from RNAcentral.